CCUACGGGAGGCAGCAGUGAGGAAUAUUGCUCAAUGGGCGAAAGCCUGAACCAGCCAAGUCGCGUGAGGGAUGACGGACCUAGUGGUUGUAAGCUCCUUUUAUAGGGAAGUAAAUCGCGGUACGUGAGUAAGUUUCCCUGGCUCACUACGUGCAAGCAGCCGCGGUUACACGGAGGCGGCCGGCGUUAUCCGGAUUUUUUGGGUGUAAAGGGAGCGUAGUCGGGAGUGCAAGACUGGAGUGAAAGGUGGGGGCUCAACCUCCGGACUGCACUGGAAACUGUACGGCUGGAGUGCAGGAGAGGUAAGUGGAAGUCGUGGUGUAGCGGUGAAAUGCGUAGAUAUGAGGAAGAACACCAAUGGCGAAGGCAGCUUACUGGACUGUAACUGACGCUGAGGCUCGAAAGCGUGGGGAGCAAACAGGAUUAGAUACCCGGGUAGUC
This 440-nucleotide ribosomal RNA is filed under the name uncultured bacterium. RNAcentral describes it as "partial 16S ribosomal RNA". It matches the Rfam family "Bacterial small subunit ribosomal RNA", at positions 338 to 795 of the family's 1533-position model. The record is from RNAcentral.